This 274-nucleotide ribosomal RNA is filed under the name uncultured bacterium. RNAcentral's name for it is "partial 16S ribosomal RNA". It matches the Rfam family "Bacterial small subunit ribosomal RNA", at positions 523 to 796 of the family's 1533-position model. The record is from RNAcentral.
AUACGGGGGGUGCAAGCGUUAAUCGGAAUUACUGGGCGUAAAGCGCGCGUAGGCGGUUUGCUCAGUCGGAUGUGAAAGCCCAGGGCUCAACCUUGGAACUGCAUACGAUACUGGCAAACUAGAGUGUGAGAGAGGAUAGUGGAAUUUCCGGUGUAGCGGUGAACUGCGUAGAUAUCGGAAGGAACAUCAGUGGCGAAGGCGACUGUCUGGCUCAACACUGACGCUGAGGUGCGAAAGCGUGGGUAGCAAACAGGAUUAGAAACCCUAGUAGUCC